UACGUAGGGGGCAAGCGUUGUCCGGAAUUAUUGGGCGUAAGGAGCGUGUAGGCGGUCCGGUAAGUCAGCUGUGAAAGUCAAGGGCUCAACCCUUGAAUGCCGGUUGAUACUGUCGGGCUAGAGUCCGGAAGAGGCGAGUGGAAUUCCCGGUGUAGCGGUGAAAUGCGCAGAUAUCGGGAGGAACACCAAUGGCGAAGGCAGCUCGCUGGGCUGACACUGACGCUGAGGCGCGAAAGCUAGGGGAGCGAACGGG
This 253-nucleotide ribosomal RNA is filed under the name uncultured bacterium. Its description in RNAcentral is "partial 16S ribosomal RNA". It matches the Rfam family "Bacterial small subunit ribosomal RNA", at positions 524 to 776 of the family's 1533-position model. The record is from RNAcentral.